Molecule: long non-coding RNA, 293 nt
Filed under: Homo sapiens (human)
Lineage: Eukaryota; Metazoa; Chordata; Mammalia; Primates; Hominidae
Description: HSALNT0282855
Source: RNAcentral
UUUGCCAAACCACGCAGUAUGAAAUAGCCCACACAACUCUUGGCCCCACUGCUUUCUGUCAUAUAAACUCCUUUUUAUUCCCUGCAUAGCCCUUGUCACUGUUUGAAAUUGCGUUGCUCAUUUAUGUAAUUGUUUAUUGUCUGCCUCCUCUUCAGAAAUGAGAACAGAAGCCUUAUCUGUAUCCUGAGGAUCUAAAACUGCUGAUUCCGGGGGUAUAUGUGCAGCUUUGUCACAUGGGUAUAUUGCGUGAUGCUGAGGUUUGGGAUUCGAAUGAUCCUGUGACCCAAAUCGUG